UACGUAGGGUGCGAGCGUUGUCCGGAAUUAUUGGGCGUAAAGAGCUCGUAGGCGGUCCGUCACGUCGGGAGUGAAAACUCGGGGCUUAACCCCGAGCCUGCUCUCGAUACGGGCAGACUUGAGGAAGGUAGGGGAGAACGGAAUUCCUGGUGGAGCGGUGGAAUGCGCAGAUAUCAGGAGGAACACCAGUGGCGAAGGCGGUUCUCUGGACCUUAUCUGACGCUGAGGAGCGAAAGCGUGGGGAGCAAACAGG
Molecule: ribosomal RNA, 253 nt
Filed under: uncultured bacterium
Lineage: Bacteria
Description: partial 16S ribosomal RNA
Rfam family: Bacterial small subunit ribosomal RNA
Source: RNAcentral